Etheostoma spectabile (orangethroat darter) is the source of this 99-nucleotide long non-coding RNA. RefSeq lists it as uncharacterized. The transcript has 3 exons. The record is from RefSeq and is a predicted model, not a curated record. NCBI's taxonomy places the organism in Eukaryota, Metazoa, Chordata, Actinopteri, Perciformes, Percidae.
UUUAUGACUUGUUUAUAAUGUUUAUGACACGUUCAUGACAGCGUCAUGUCACUCUUGUGUAGAUACCUUCAUGUAAAGUGUUUCCAAAGCAUUUCUAUG